This 550-nucleotide ribosomal RNA is filed under the name uncultured Bifidobacterium sp. RNAcentral describes it as "bacterial SSU rRNA". It matches the Rfam family "Bacterial small subunit ribosomal RNA", at positions 148 to 709 of the family's 1533-position model. Lineage: Bacteria; Bacillati; Actinomycetota; Actinomycetes; Bifidobacteriales; Bifidobacteriaceae. The record is from RNAcentral.
UCCUGGAAACGGGUGGUAAUGCCGGAUGUGCCGGGCUCCUGCAUGGGGGUCCGGGAAAGCUCUGGCGGCGUGGCAUGGGGUUGCGUCCUAUCAGCUUGUUGGCGGGGUGAGGGCUCACCAAGGCUUCGACGGGUAGCCGGCCUGAGAGGGCGACCGGCCACAUUGGGACUGAGAUACGGCCCAGACUCCUACGGGAGGCAGCAGUGGGGAAUAUUGCACAAUGGGCGCAAGCCUGAUGCAGCGACGCCGCGUGCGGGAUGGAGGCCUUCGGGUUGUAAACCGCUUUUGUUUGGGAGCAAGCCCUUCGGGGUGAGUGUACCUUUCGAAUAAGCACCGGCUAACUACGUGCCAGCAGCCGCGGUAAUACGUAGGGUGCGAGCGUUAUCCGGAUUUAUUGGGCGUAAAGGGCUCGUAGGCGGUUCGUCGCGUCCGGUGUGAAAGUCCAUCGCCUAACGGUGGAUCUGCGCCGGGUACGGGCGGGCUGGAGUGCGGUAGGGGAGACUGGAAUUCCCGGUGUAACGGUGGAAUGUGUAGAUAUCGGGAAGAACAC